This 305-nucleotide ribosomal RNA is filed under the name uncultured bacterium. RNAcentral describes it as "bacterial SSU rRNA". It matches the Rfam family "Bacterial small subunit ribosomal RNA", at positions 333 to 636 of the family's 1533-position model. The record is from RNAcentral.
AUGGUCCUACGGGGGGCAGCAGUGAGGAAUAUUGGUCAAUGGGCGGGAGCCUGAAUCAGCCGCGUCGCGUGAAGGAAGAAGGUACUUAGUAUUGUAAACUUCUUUUGUCGGGGAACAAAGGCGGAGACGCGUCUCCGGAUGAGUGUACCCGAAGAAAAAGCAUCGGCUAACUCCGUGCCAGCAGCCGCGGUAAUACGGAGGAUGCGAGCGUUAUCCGGAUUUAUUGGGUUUAAAGGGUGCGCAGGCGGGAGAUCAAGUCAACGGUAAAAUGUCCGGGCUCAACCCGGGCCGGCCGUUGAAACUGG